RNAcentral lists this ribosomal RNA (425 nucleotides) under uncultured bacterium. RNAcentral's name for it is "partial 16S ribosomal RNA". It matches the Rfam family "Bacterial small subunit ribosomal RNA", at positions 354 to 796 of the family's 1533-position model. The record is from RNAcentral.
GUGGGGAAUCUUGCGCAAUGGGCGAAAGCCUGACGCAGCCAUGCCGCGUGAAUGAUGAAGGUCUUAGGAUUGUAAAAUUCUUUCACCGGGGACGAUAAUGACGGUACCCGGAGAAGAAGCCCCGGCUAACUUCGUGCCAGCAGCCGCGGUAAUACGAAGGGGGCUAGCGUUGCUCGGAAUUACUGGGCGUAAAGGUCGCGUAGGCGGACAGUUUAGUCAGAGGUGAAAGCCAAGGGCUCAACCUUGGAAUUGCCUUUGAUACUGGCUGUCUUGAGUACGGGAGAGGUGAGUGGAACUCCGAGUGUAGAGGUGAAAUUCGUAGAUAUUCGGAAGAACACCAGUGGCGAAGGCGACUCACUGGCCCGUUACUGACGCUGAGGCGCGAAAGCGUGGGGAGCAAACAGGAUUAGAAACCCUGGUAGUCC